AUGUGGGUGAUGAGCACUUAUCUCUGGAUUUCUUGAUUUUGCAGACUUCAAGGAAGUCCAGGUAGAGGUUGAUGGCCAAUGACUCCAGCCUUCCCCAUGAUGGGUUGGUAGGAAUCAAAUUAGAAUUCCUUUGUUUAUCAGGCAACUUUGUUUUAAGGUGGUUUGUUUUUUGAUUAUGAAAAGGAAGAGGCCACCAUGGCCCUUCUGUGAGUUUGUAAGUUUUGAGCAGUGUUUUCAUCACCAGUCCUGGGAGUCUCUGAUCCAAUCACCAGUCUGAAGGUGUUUUUUCCUACUUUUGCAAGUAACUAAGUACAGAAGAAUAGAGUUCUUAAUGUAUUCAAAAUAGUAAGUAGAUCCCUGAAUAUAGGCAAUAGUAGUUGAAAUAUUUUCUCAGAAAAACAAAACAACCAGGAAACCCACUCCAGUAUUUAUAGAUCAGAUUAUCAAGGGAAAAAAGUGAAUAUGCACUCCAUAUAUCUCUAGUUCAGUUACCAAACUUGAUCUUAUAAAGAAACCUCAGUUGUAUGGACAGAAUUAUCCCCCUCCCCAAUCUUUUUCUGGUGCCAUCACCAUCUUGAAGGUCUAAGAGCCAGGAAACAUUGUAGUCAUCUCAGCAGUGUGCAGACAGCUGCCGUCCUGGUUACCCCAAGCCCACCUUUCAGGGUCGGUGAAACCUUUUGGUGCCCCUCUUCAGGAGCUCCAGACCAAACCCCAGGCCACUCCAUGCACCAAAAGCCUUUUAGAAGGCUUCCCAGUCUGUUAGGAUGUCUCAGGAGACAUGAGCCAUUUCGUGGGGGAUGCAUGUACUCACAGAUGGAUGUGUGCACUCUGCUUUGUGGGCUUUCUUCUCAGAGACAGCACAGCUCCUGCGAACUGAUCUCGGUGAGCUGCUCAGACCAGCGAGUAAGCUGGCUCUGAGGCAGAGCAGAGAAUGACAGGAAAGAUGAAACCAAAAAUGCUAUAACUCUCCAAUGGAAAGUAAUGUUGAUGCAGCAAUUCCCAUUGGAUGUAUUACACUCUUCUAAUUUAUUGUUUGUCUCUUAAGUUUUACCCAUUGUACUCUUUAGAAGAUGUUAGGAUGUUGGUUGCAGGUUUUUUUUUUAAGUAGAUGAUGUGGGAAUCAGUUUUAAUUCAUGUGUGGAUGUGUCUAGUUAUUGUUAAAUGCCCUUUUUUUCUACUUUUUAAAAGAUAUGUAAUAUUUCAUAAUCCCUGGCACUGGUCAAAAAAAAAACACAGCUGUGAAAAGUAAAAUUGUAGUAUUUUUUAAAUGAAUGUCAAUUUCAAGUGUAUUUGAAAUGUUUCCUCCAGUAGACAGAUUUGAACACCGUUGGAAAAGACUCCUUUGCAGAGGAACUAGCCUUUGGAGAAAAUGGACUGUGGGUCUGGAUAUGUUAUCUCAGAGUAGCCCAUUUCAUAGGGCACCGUGACAACACAAAUGUGAUCUUUAAGUAUACCUCUUCCCCCUGGGGAGGGAAGGACUUAGUUUGCACCCUUUUUGUAUGUAAAAUAAAAUGUCCUACCUUUCUUGGCU
This 1531-nucleotide long non-coding RNA is filed under the name Mus musculus (house mouse). Its description in RNAcentral is "long non-coding RNA chr9:66043477-66045008". Lineage: Eukaryota; Metazoa; Chordata; Mammalia; Rodentia; Muridae. The record is from RNAcentral.